Molecule: unclassified non-coding RNA, 482 nt
Filed under: Primula capillaris
Lineage: Eukaryota; Viridiplantae; Streptophyta; Magnoliopsida; Ericales; Primulaceae
Description: partial external transcribed spacer
Source: RNAcentral
AGAGCGCGUGAGUGGUGGUUGGAUUGUAUGGGUUGAAUUGUUCCCUGCUUGUGCAGCGAAAUUUUUCCUUGCAAUCCUCUUCAUUGUUGCUUCAAGAGAAUUUGUUCAUUGAGCGAUUGUCGGGUCCCUGUGUUGUAUACCAUUUGAAGGAAUUUGAACUGAAAGAUGAUCAAUUUCGUCUUGUGCCACAGUGUUGCAUUAGGUGAACCCCAAAGUACCAUUCGUGCUACCAGCAUGCCUCCAAAAAAAUGGUGCUUGCUUGGGGCAUGGAUGGAUACUCGUGCUCUCGGAUGCGGAAUAUAUUGUGGAUAAAGCGGUCUAUUGAUUGCUUGUGCCCAAAAUUGUCCCUUUAUUGAACGACUAUCAUAACCGUGUGCCCCAUUCGAUUUUGUCGGUUGGGACCAUGCGGGCAUGGUGUUGUGAAGGAAUGCUACCUGGUUGAUCCUGCCAGUAGUCAUAUGCUUGUCUCACCCCUCCCGCGC